AUCAUAUAAGGUACAUUCCUGCUCAGUGACGUAAGUUUAACAGCCGCGGUAUCCUAACCGUGCAAAGGUAGCAUAAUCACUUGCCUAUUAAUUGUAGGCUAGAAUGAACGGAUAAACGAAAUAAAAACUGUCUCAGUUAAAUACAUAAAAAUUACUCUCCAUAUAAAGAAUUAUGGAUAAAUUCGAAGGACAAGAAGACCCUAUAGAGCUUUAUUUUAAUAUACUAUAAUAGUUAUACAUAAAAUUUGGUUGGGGCGACCGUGGGCUCAAAAAACACCCACAACCGUACAGAUUAAUAAAUCAUCUAUUUGACCCUAAUAAGAUCAUAAAACCAAGCUACCUUAGGGAUAACAGGCUAAUACUAUUAAAGAGUUCAUAUCAACAAUAAGGAUUGGCACCUCGAUGUUGGCUUAGGAUUUCAAUAUAGCGCAAAAGUUAUAUAAACGAUGGUUUGUUCACCAAUAAUUC
RNAcentral lists this ribosomal RNA (468 nucleotides) under Terrisswalkerius nashi. Its description in RNAcentral is "partial 16S ribosomal RNA". It matches the Rfam family "Bacterial large subunit ribosomal RNA", at positions 1840 to 2596 of the family's 2925-position model. Lineage: Eukaryota; Metazoa; Annelida; Clitellata; Crassiclitellata; Megascolecidae. The record is from RNAcentral.